CCAACAGGGCCCAUGCACUUGAACUCUGCCUUGUCUCUAUGAGCAGGAACAUUUGGAGCAAAACAUGGUGGAGUUUUACAACUCCUGGAUUCCACCAAGUGAAAGACCUGGAUCUACAAGCACAAACACACUGAGCAUGAUGCCGCCAACGCCACACUUUGAACUGCUGGGCAAACGAAGAACAUGGGUGACACCGUACCAAGAGGUGCAGACGUCAAGGUCCACACCUGAAUCAAAUGACGUACCUAAAGAAUGAACACAGUGAGAAAUCUUGUUCAGAAGACUUAAAAUAUUGAACCCUUGCCGAAAGGUAAAAUCGGUAGUUAUCCAUAUUUAUCCUUUCUACAUUCCCUUUCCCUUUUAAUUAUUUACUUUUCUUAAACGGCUUCUUAGUUAAUCAUGCUAUCUUGAAAAGAAAAUAAAAAUGUUAAAAAUAGUAAGCCCCAUGUGAGUAUGCUCGUGGCAUAAAACCCAUAACUACAUUCACUGUGGUGGCGUAAAAAUAAAAUAAAUAUAUUCCUGUCCUAUAGAAAUGAAAAUAUAAAAAUAAAUUUGUGAUCCUACCAA
Molecule: long non-coding RNA, 567 nt
Filed under: Sorghum bicolor (sorghum)
Lineage: Eukaryota; Viridiplantae; Streptophyta; Magnoliopsida; Poales; Poaceae
Description: long non-coding RNA (SBIC_LNC000988)
Source: RNAcentral